CGAGGACGAACGCUGGCGGCGUGCCUAACACAUGCAAGUCGAACGAGGUAUUUUGAUUGAAGUUUCGGAUGGAUUUCAAGAUACCGAGUGGCGGACGGGUGAGUAACGCGUGGGUAACCUGCCUCAUACAGGGGGAUAACGGUUAGAAAUGACUGCUAAUACCGCAUAAGCGCACAGUACCGCAUGGUACGGUGUGAAAAACUCCGGUGGUAUGAGAUAGACCCGCGUCUGAUUAGCUAGUUGGUGAGGUAACGGCCCACCAAGGCGACGAUCAGUAGCCGACCUGAGAGGGUGACCGGCCACAUUGGGACUGAGACACGGCCCAGACUCCUACGGGAGGCAGCAGUGGGGGAUAUUGCACAAUGGAGGAAACUCUGAUGCAGCGACGCCGCGUGAGUGAAGAAGUAUUUCGGUAUGUAAAGCUCUAUCAGCAGGGAAGAAAAUGACGGUACCUGACUAAGAAGCCCCGGCUAACUACGUG
Molecule: ribosomal RNA, 481 nt
Filed under: uncultured bacterium
Lineage: Bacteria
Description: bacterial SSU rRNA
Rfam family: Bacterial small subunit ribosomal RNA
Source: RNAcentral